Molecule: ribosomal RNA, 1047 nt
Filed under: uncultured bacterium
Lineage: Bacteria
Description: bacterial SSU rRNA
Rfam family: Bacterial small subunit ribosomal RNA
Source: RNAcentral
CCUACGGGAGGCAGCAGUGGGGAAUUGUUCGCAAUGGGCGCAAGCCUGACGACGCAACGCCGCGUGGAGGAUGAAGAUCUUCGGAUCGUAAACCCCUGUCGAGUGGGAAGAACAGCUUUGGGGCGAAUAUCCCCGGAGCCUGACGGUACCACUAAAGGAAGCCCCGGCUAACUCCGUGCCAGCAGCCGCGGUAAUACGGGGGGAGCAAGCGUUGUUCGGAUUUACUGGGCGUAAAGGGCGCGUAGGCGGCGCAACAAGUCACUUGUGAAAUCUCCGGGCUUAACCCGGAGCGGCCAAGUGAUACUGUCGUGCUAGAGUGCGGAAGGGGCUACUGGAAUUCUCGGUGUAGCGGUGAAAUGCGUAGAUAUCGAGAGGAACACCUGCGGCGAAGGCGGGUAGCUGGGCCGACACUGACGCUGAGGCGCGAAAGCCAGGGGAGCGAACGGGAUUAGAUACCCCGGUAGUCCUGGCCUUAAACGAUGGAUACUUGGUGUCCGGGGUUACAUAGUCCCCGGGUGCCGGCGCUAACGCAUUAAGUAUCCCGCCUGGGGAGUACGGUCGCAAGACUGAAACUCAAAGGAAUUGACGGGGACCCGCACAAGCGGUGGAGCAUGUGGUUUAAUUCGACGCAACGCGAAGAACCUUACCUGGGCUAGAAUGCCUCUGACAACCCUGGAGACAGGGCCUUCUGGGUAAAACCAGACAGAGUGCAAGGUGCUGCAUGGCUGUCGUCAGCUCGUGUCGUGAGAUGUUGGGUUAAGUCCCGCAACGAGCGCAACCCUUGUCAGUAGUUGCCAGCGGUUCGGCCGGGCACUCUACUGAGACUGCCGUUGAUAAAACGGAGGAGGUGGGGAUGACGUCAAGUCCUCAUGGCCUUUAUGUCCAGGGCUACACACGUGCUACAAUGGCAGGUACAACCGUCGCAAACUCGCAGAGGGAGCCAAUCGGAAAAGCCUGUCUCAGUUCGGAUGAGUCUGCACUCGACUCCAUGAAGCUGGAAUCGCUAGUAUCGCGGAUCAGCAUGCCGGGGGUGAAUACGUUCCCGGG